AGGAUUACAAGGAUGCUGCCAAUGUAUUCCCAGGUGGAUUUUGCUGACAGUCCUAGCUAUAAGUAUUGGGAAGAACAUGGCUGCCAUUUGCCCACCCUCCUCCCAUUGCUAUCUUUCCCUGUGGAUUCAAGUAACACCUUUUUCAAAUGAUGAGCUGGAUUCCAUUCAGGCACCUUCAAUCGAUGGUACAGAAGGUCCAAAGGCAGAGUUAUUGUUCAGACAAUAAUAGUGGGUGAGUCAACAAGAACACAGUAUGAGCCUCUCUGUUCCUAGACUGAUCUUGCCACGUCAACAGCAAGAGAAAAUCUUUAAGCUCCCCUCUGAGCUACAAUACUCAAGAGCAUGAGAUACAUCACAGUAGAGGGUUUGUACUGUGGAAGGAAGGGGGGG
Long non-coding RNA from Anolis carolinensis (green anole), 390 nucleotides. RefSeq lists it as uncharacterized. The transcript has 2 exons. The record is from RefSeq and is a predicted model, not a curated record. Lineage: Eukaryota; Metazoa; Chordata; Lepidosauria; Squamata; Anolidae.